Canis lupus familiaris (dog) is the source of this 90-nucleotide non-coding RNA. The record is from Rfam. Lineage: Eukaryota; Metazoa; Chordata; Mammalia; Carnivora; Canidae.
CGGGGGAGGCCGGAUCCUGGGCUGUGUCCCGGCCCCUGUGCUCCGGAGCCUGCGCUGUUGGAUUCGCGCUCCCGGGCCGCGCAGCCCCCU